RNAcentral lists this transfer RNA (68 nucleotides) under Coleoptera sp. 17 KM-2017. RNAcentral's name for it is "tRNA-Ser". The record is from RNAcentral. Lineage: Eukaryota; Metazoa; Arthropoda; Insecta; Coleoptera.
AACUAAUGAACUUGAAUAAGUUUAUAUUUUGAAAAUAUAAAAAAGAAAUUAUAAUUUUCUAUUAGUUU